This 433-nucleotide ribosomal RNA is filed under the name uncultured bacterium. RNAcentral's name for it is "partial 16S ribosomal RNA". It matches the Rfam family "Bacterial small subunit ribosomal RNA", at positions 29 to 507 of the family's 1533-position model. The record is from RNAcentral.
AACGAACGCUGGCGGCAUGCCUAACACAUGCAAGUCGAACGAGACCUUCGGGUCUAGUGGCGCACGGGUGCGUAACGCGUGGGAACCUGCCCUUAGGUUCGGAAUAACUCCCCGAAAGGGGUGCUCAUACCGGAUAAUGUCUUCGGACCAAAGAUUUAUCGCCUUUGGAUGGGCCCGCGUUGGAUUAGCUAGUUGGUAGGGUAAAAGCCUACCAAGGCGACGAUCCAUAGCUGGUCUGAGAGGAUGAUCAGCCACACUGGGACUGAGACACGGCCCAGACUCCUACGGGAGGCAGCAGUGGGGAAUAUUGGACAAGGGGCGAAAGCCUGAUCCAGCAAUGCCGCGUGAGUGAUGAAGGCCUUAGGGUUGUAAAGCUCUUUUACCCGGGAUGAUAAUGACAGUACCGGGAGAAUAAGCUCCGGCUAACUCCGUG